AUUGAACGCUGGCGGCAUGCCUUACACAUGCAAGUCGAACGGCAGCAUGAUCUAGCUUGCUAGAUUGAUGGCGAGUGGCGAACGGGUGAGUAAUACAUCGGAACGUGCCCUGUAGUGGGGGAUAACUAGUCGAAAGAUUAGCUAAUACCGCAUACGACCUGAGGGUGAAAGUGGGGGACCGCAAGGCCUCAUGCUAUAGGAGCGGCCGAUGUCUGAUUAGCUAGUUGGUGGGGUAAAGGCCCACCAAGGCGACGAUCAGUAGCUGGUCUGAGAGGACGAUCAGCCACACUGGAACUGAGACACGGCCCAGACUCCUACGGGAGGCAGCAGUGGGGAAGUUUGGACAAUGGGGGCAACCCUGAUCCAGCAAUGCCGCGUGUGUGAAGAAGGCCUUCGGGUUGUAAAGCACUUUUGUCCGGAAAGAAAUCGCACUUACUAAUAUUAGGUGUGGAUGACGGUACCGGAAGAAUAAGGACCGGCUAACUACGUGCCAGCCGCCGCCGUAA
RNAcentral lists this ribosomal RNA (506 nucleotides) under uncultured bacterium. Its description in RNAcentral is "partial 16S ribosomal RNA". It matches the Rfam family "Bacterial small subunit ribosomal RNA", at positions 30 to 523 of the family's 1533-position model. The record is from RNAcentral.